GCUGAGCACAACGCAGCUCCGCCCUCGCAAAGGCACAGCGCGGGCGCAGGCGCCCAGAGGCGCACAGGAGACCUCAGGCCCAGACUCCACUCCCCAGCUGUGAAAGGACUGCUGGCCAGACCCCCAAGCUAGCCCGCCAGGCCUCCAUAGAGCUGCCCAGCAUGGCUGCAUCCAGUACCAAGAGUUGGUGGGAGACGGGUGAGGUAUAGGCUCAGUCUGCGGCCAAGACUCCGUCCUGCAAGGAAGGAGUGAUUGGCUGCUGGUCCUGCCCUGUCCGAGGAGGAGGACGGAACCCACCCACCAAGCUGUGGAGAGGUGGACCCCACAAAUCCCCUCGCAAGCCACGUCUGAGAGCGAGCAGAGGGAAGAAACUCAAGCGUUUGUAGUCCUCUUUCUUAACAACCAGGCUUAAAGCGCCAUCUUGUGUCUUGAAGGCAGAAGGAGAUCAGGAUGUGUGUGCUAGAAGCAGGCAGAGGAUCUUCACCAAUGUCUCAAAAACUAGAGAAGGAAACAUGGCGAUCCUCAAGGCCCGCGGCGGCCCCAGCCCUUCCCGCACCCUGCGAUAGUCUGGUGUUGGGAGGGUGGCCCACGUGUCCAAGCAACCACAUCAGGGAGGUUCUGGGAGAGGAGAAGGCAAAGCUCAUGCCCUCAUGAGGCAGGCAGUCCCAUCCAGGACUGGACUGGAUGAGCACCAAUAAAUAAGAAAACACAGCUGGCAGCUGACUGUGAAGGGUCUGGACAGGGUGCCGAAGUGAAGCGUAAUGAGCUGGAUAGUGAGGACCUCACUACAGAGGGACAUCUAUCUACACACAGCCUGAAGGGUGAGAAAGAUGGAUCCUUGCCCUGAGCCAGAAGUGCACACCCCAGAGAGAGCAGCUCCUGCGGAGGUCCUGUGGGGCAGGCAUGGUAGGAAUAUUAAAGAGAAGAAGCCAGGUGUGGCUGCAGCCAUGCAGGAGGAAGGGCGAUGGGGUUGGGGAGGCAGAGGAUGGGACUGGCAUGAGAAGAUGGAGAUGCAGAGCCCAGAUCGUGAUAGCCCCAAUAGUCCACGGGUAGGAGUUUGUAUUUUCUACUAAAAGCAAUGGGAGGGCGGGGCGCGGUAGCUCAAGCCUAUAAUUCCAGCACUUUGGGAGGCCGAGGCGGGUGGAUCACCUGAGGUCAGGA
RNAcentral lists this long non-coding RNA (1161 nucleotides) under Homo sapiens (human). RNAcentral describes it as "HSALNT0295198". Lineage: Eukaryota; Metazoa; Chordata; Mammalia; Primates; Hominidae. The record is from RNAcentral.